UCCAAAUUUGAUUUGAUGUAAUUGGAAAGUGGUAGCAGUAGGAUGGUGAAAAGUGAGGCCCCACGCGCUCUCAACAAAGCCUGAAUGUCACUCGACGGUCUUAUUAGCGUCGGGCUUGGGCAUGUCUCACAAUUGGCUAAUGUAUGGCUACAGCACAUUCCCUUUUCUACAGUGUCUCAAAAGAGGAGUUGUGUUAGAGUGGGGCUAAUACCGCUUUGCACUUGGA
This 226-nucleotide long non-coding RNA is filed under the name Ricinus communis (castor bean). RNAcentral describes it as "long non-coding RNA (RCOM_LNC000357)". Lineage: Eukaryota; Viridiplantae; Streptophyta; Magnoliopsida; Malpighiales; Euphorbiaceae. The record is from RNAcentral.